UUAUUUUCCUCUUUAACCACUGUGAAUUUUAAAAGUUGUUUGUACAAAUUGUAAAAUGUUUAAUUAUAAUUAAUUCAUAUGUUAACAGGACGCAGAUUUUGAUACCGUAAUAAUAUAUAAUGACGGAAAAUUGGUAUGUUAAGAUAAUGCGUGAUCAGGAAAAAAAUAUGAUAUGAUGUGCAGUUAAAUUUAGUUCAAGGGCAAGUAAAACAGUUCUUACUUCUAUAGCAAAUCAUAAUGGAUUGCGUAAAUUUUGAAUUCGAUAAUUUUUAUUUUUUAAAGGAUACCUAAUGAAUCAUCUUUUCAUUAUCUCCUUUACAUGUGCUAUAUAAUACAUUAAAUAUCACGACAAAUAUAUUCACUCAUUGAUGUCAAACAACCGUAUUGUGCUACAUUACCAGUUUCCAGUAACAAUUUUUAAAUUGAUGUCGUUCUUAUUGGAAUCAUAAAGAAAGAUUUCUUAUGAAAAAGAUUUUGAAUCAUAAAGAAAGAUUUCUUAUGAAAAAGAUUUUAUAAAGAAAGAUUUCUUAUGAAAAAGAUUUUCUUAUUAUACAAAAAUGUACAACCACUUUUACAUGGUAAAUCCACGGAUUAGCAACACGUACAGAGGGAAAUACUGAAAAACACUGAAAAUCCGGAGAUAUAAAUCACUAAAUUUUUGUAUGCCUGACAAUUAAUAAAACAAAGAACACCAUGAAGAAAAAACAAUAAAGAAAGAAACAAUGGAGAUGCCAUCGAGCAGUGAUAUAACUAGAGGGCAUGAACACUACCUGAUGCAUAUACUGUUUUUGGAACAAGCUUCGCCCAUCGUAUUAAAGGCCAUUUUGAAAAGGGAAGAGGAAAAACUUGGAAAAAAUAUAAGUAUUGUGUUGAAUGAUAAUAGACAUACAUUUAAAGCACGGUACGGAACAGAGUUUCUACAAUUAUUUCAAGACGAGAAUGUCAAUUACGACAUUGAUACGUGGGACACUCAUCAAUUAUGUGCUGUAACAUUAGUUUUGUUUGAAUCAGGUCUAACUGAUCCAGAAGUUAAAUCUACUCAAUGUAUAUAUGAUCAGAGAAAAGAUAUUGAAAAUUACGUAGAAUGUGCCUCUCUAACAUACAAUACCUACAAGGAGAAACAAUUUCUAUUGAAAGAACAAUUACACGAGUUGAUAACGAUUAUAG
This is a long non-coding RNA of Ruditapes philippinarum (Manila clam), 1167 nucleotides long. RefSeq lists it as uncharacterized. The transcript is spliced from 3 exons. Lineage: Eukaryota; Metazoa; Mollusca; Bivalvia; Venerida; Veneridae. The record is from RefSeq and is a predicted model, not a curated record.